CCUACGGGAGGCAGCAGUGGGGAAUAUUGGACAAUGGGCGCAAGCCUGAUCCAGCCAUGCCGCGUGAGUGAUGAAGGCCUUAGGGUUGUAAAGCUCUUUCGCCAGGGACGAUAAUGACGGUACCUGGAUGAGAAGCCCCGGCUAACUUCGUGCCAGCAGCCUCGGUAAU
RNAcentral lists this ribosomal RNA (169 nucleotides) under uncultured Methylocystaceae bacterium. RNAcentral's name for it is "partial 16S ribosomal RNA". It matches the Rfam family "Bacterial small subunit ribosomal RNA", at positions 338 to 524 of the family's 1533-position model. Lineage: Bacteria; Pseudomonadati; Pseudomonadota; Alphaproteobacteria; Hyphomicrobiales; Methylocystaceae. The record is from RNAcentral.